UACAGAGGGGGCAAGCGUUAUUCGGAAUUAUUGGGCGUAAAGGGCGCGUAGGCGGCUUGGCAAGUGGAAGGUGAAAUCCCUCGGCUCAACCGAGGAACUGCCCUCCAAACUGCUUGGCUUGAGACCGGGAGAGGUGAGUGGAAUUCCCAGUGUAGCGGUGAAAUGCGUAGAUAUUGGGAGGAACACCAGUGGCGAAGGCGGCUCACUGGACCGGUACUGACGCUGAGGCGCGAAAGCGUGGGGAGCAAACAGG
RNAcentral lists this ribosomal RNA (253 nucleotides) under uncultured bacterium. RNAcentral's name for it is "partial 16S ribosomal RNA". It matches the Rfam family "Bacterial small subunit ribosomal RNA", at positions 524 to 776 of the family's 1533-position model. The record is from RNAcentral.